This 1354-nucleotide long non-coding RNA is filed under the name Parus major (Great Tit). Its description in RNAcentral is "lncRNA (ENSPMJG00000018229.1)". The record is from RNAcentral. Lineage: Eukaryota; Metazoa; Chordata; Aves; Passeriformes; Paridae.
CUCAGGCAUUAUCAGUCAAUUGGGAGCUCAGCAGCAUGAAAGAGGUGGAUCUGUCUCUGAGCUGAGUACUUGGAAUCUGUCUGAAUUUCGGCUAUGUCUACAACUGAAUUUCAGCUUUUUGCUAAUAAGUUAAUGAAUGGUAUGAAAUUGUGAAUUGGAACUAUUAUUUUUUUUCUAAUCACAUCAGGAAAAGAUUGAAUGCAGGAAACCUGAAGUUGAUUCAAGUGAUGCAGUGUUACAUAAUAUGUAUUAAGCCUGUGGAAAGCUUUGCCAUGAGCUAUCCACAGAUGCUUCUGAGGAUAUAAGGAUCAUCCAGAACUGCCUUGGAUAAGAUUUAAACUGUUUCAGGGGACUGUGAGUUCAAAAUGGAAUAAGCCUUUCAUUGAUUAUCUGCUGUUCCUAUGUGCCAGUUAUUCAUUAACUGACCAUGUCAGGUAACAUUACUUGCUUGUUUCUGGCCACUCAUUGGAAGCACAUCAAAUGGAAUAGAUUUUAUGCCAGUUGUCUGCUAUGAUGCUGCAGUUUCUGUGUUUGCUAUCAAUUGUGAGUUUAGACAGGUUUAAAUUAUGUUAAUUAGUCUAUUUUGAUGUCAGCGUUCCCUGUCUGUUGAGACUGACACAGCUCCACCCACCUAUUAAUGAAUAUGUUAAUUAAGUCAUAUUAGACACCUGAAUAUGGCUCUGGAGCCAAGGGAAUAGUGACAGCUGAUGGCCCUUCAGGGCACAAAUGGUUUCUCACUACGAUCAAUAUUCUCCACUGCUGAAAAUGCUUCUUACUGUUUUGGACUUCCACUCACUUAACUCUCCCUCCGGCAGUUGUUUACAAUACUGAAGUGCAACCAAGAGUUCAAGCAGAGUAGCCUUAAAAGCUGCCUUAAUGACAUCUAUAGAAAAAUCAUCCAACUCAGCCUUCAUCUUCAGACAGAAGAGCGAGAGUGAGUCAAUACAGAUCGGGUGGCCAAACAGCACCCAAGCUUUGUCAAAGCCAAAUUACACAUAGUGAGAGGAUCCACCUGAUAGAGAAAGACUGUAGAACACUACUUGUACAUGUCAAAGAAUCUCACAGAGGUAAAUAUUAAUUCACUUAGGUUUUUUGGGUUUUUUUUUAUUAUGACUAAGUUCCAGACCAGCUGAUGGCUUUGUUCAGAGAGUUUUACAGUAUCUCUGAGCACAUUUAAAGUUUUAUGCACACAUUUAAAGGAAAAUGCACAUAAAAUGCUGGAGACAUGUCCGGCAAUGGAGACAUGUCCAAAAAUUACAUUAUUCAUGUGGGGUAUGUUAUAAAGCCAGAAGAGGGUGAAAUUUUAAAGACAUUCUAAAAUAAAUAAAGAUGCUAGAUAUAAAAAUUUUCUGAA